Molecule: long non-coding RNA, 651 nt
Organism: Saccostrea cuccullata (small rock oyster)
Lineage: Eukaryota; Metazoa; Mollusca; Bivalvia; Ostreida; Ostreidae
Exons: 6
Source: RefSeq, a predicted model, not a curated record
UUUCAAAACUGUGGAAUAUAACUUAGUUUUUUCUCUAUCGACUACCACUGUAGUACAAUUACAUCGGGAUCGAAGUCGGGCUCGAAAAGCAAUUUAUUUAAAAACAACACACCGCGCCGAAAUUCAAUUUUUUGGAGAGUUCCACGCAGCCAUGUUGAAUUUGAUCAUGAUGUUAUACGGGAGGAAGGGGCGAAAGAGAGUUACUCGAAAAGGAGAAGCAUGAUAAACUUUGGAUGGAAUUUAUGUUUUAAUAGAAGAUGAAGACAUUUACGACCCUGUUUAGCGUUGCAGUGUGGACUGUGCCUGAGACGAUUCCCCAUAACGCCGGCUAUGUAGACAGCUUGUGAAAAUGGAAUCCAAAUGCUCACAAGAAAUGACAAAAGCAGUAUGAAGAUUAACACAACGAAAUUGUGCCAGAAAAGUUUGAAGUAGGUAUGGGAAUGAUCAACAUUGAACUUGCUGAGGCUCUCUUCCUGAAAGUGACUUGACCAGAUAUUUGGCUACCCAGUAUGAGUAUCUUUCUGCUACAUUAAAUAAAAUAUCGUGGAGGAACACGAAGAAAAGGGCUGCGCACCUCAACAUAUUCAAGGUCAAGCAGCUUUUUACCAUAUCCAUAGUAUCUUGCUGCUAAAUGAAAGAAUUUGUGUGGAG